Long non-coding RNA from Ahaetulla prasina, 6552 nucleotides. RefSeq lists it as uncharacterized. Lineage: Eukaryota; Metazoa; Chordata; Lepidosauria; Squamata; Colubridae. The record is from RefSeq and is a predicted model, not a curated record. The transcript has 3 exons.
GAGAGCUUGUGGUGUGAAGCCACAAUAGUGCUUUUGUUAUUUUGUUAAAAUAACAAGCGGCAGCAGAUACUUGAUCUGCCCAUAUAUGUCAUACUGCCCUACCAGUCAACCGUUGUCCACAAAAUGGUUACAGCUUGGAGCAGCUGCUUCAGACAAGCAGGUUCGGGGGAGCAUAAACCUUGUGUGCUAGGACUCAAGGGCUCAACUCUUCCCAGAGAACCAAACAAGGUUGUACCUCCAACACCUCAACUGGACUAGCCCAGUCAGAUUCCAAAUCCAACUAAUCCAAGCAACUUUAUUGACCAAUUGCCUUGAAUAUUCCUCACAACAGCUCAAUUGAUGGUCCCCAGCAAAAAACAAGAGGAGGAGAAAUAUAUAUACAGUAUAAACCUGGCCGGGAGGAAAGACACAUAUAAUGGAUUCUACUUUCUCCAUCAAGCAGCACCCCAAAUUGGACUAUUGAAAAGGAAUAUUAUUAAAUCUUCCAAUCGUUAUGUUGGUAAAACAUCAGCUAAAAUAAACUCUGGUGAGUAGAACAUAAAAUGAUAGCAAGUGUCUUCUGAACAAAUCCAACUUUAAAAGGACAUAACUAUAGCUUAAAUUUUCCUCUAGAUCUGCAUAAAAAGUUUGCUGUUUUAGCUCAGAAAGAUUUACUUGACCCCAAUAAAGGUCAGAUAGUGGUUGAGUAAACUGCACAAUUCUAGCUUCAAAUUAGAACCUGUCAUUUAUGAUCCACCUUUCUAAGACUACAUUUGAAUAUUCUAUGAUUCUAAAUAAUGAACACAACAUUUCUUUAUUCUAUAAAAGAAAUUGAUCAAUAUACUGCCCUCACACAUAUUAAAAGCUGAAGUCUGUUUAGGUAAGAGUGAAGAUAGAGUAAGAAAGGUAUUUGUUCCCUAAAUUGGCUGCGAAUAGUAAGUUUUGAUUGGACAAAAAAGGAUGAAUGAGAGAUCAAAAUUGCGACAUGGAAAAGGCUUUAAACUUCUACAAGGUCCCAUGAUUUGGUUUCUACCGGUUCACCCCAGUUCGGGCAAACCUUGUGGUGGCGGCGGUGGGAAACUUCGCCCACCUGCCCAGACAUCAUCACGGAUGCUCUGCACAUGCACAGACAGUUCUGCGCAAGUGCAGAAGCGCUACGUGUGAGCAAAGAGAGCCCACACACAUGUGCGCUCCUGAUCCCAAACCGAUAGCAAAGGUAAGUGGAACCCACUACUGAUUUGAGGCCCCUGUUUAUGGAAGUAGUAGACAGACAAACCUGCUCAAAUUGGAAUUCUCACUUGUGUGGGAAAAUAAUGAACAUGGCAGAGGAUGCGAAUCACUGCAAAUGCUGAAAUGCCUAAAAACCUUGCUUUCACCUUCUUCUCCUGCUUGUUCUUUCUCAGCCGGAAGAGAAAACUAAAAAACAACCAGGUUAUAACAUUUUUUCUUGUUUCUUAUGAAGGAAUAAUGAAUGAGAAAAAAACAGAAAAAACAGAAAACAGAAAAAUACAGAAACUGUUCUAAGAGGUCAUUAAUUGUAUGUUUAUAAUUAAUUUGGUUCAUGUUACUUUUUGUUCACAUAGUUUUCUCUGUCAGUUGUUUUGCUUCUAGUUGUUGCAAUUGUUUAUCUUGCUGCCAGUAACACAUAUCGUGUGCAUGCUAGCUGGGAAAUUUUGUGACACAUCUUAAAAUUACCAAGUUUAAAAAACACUGUACUAAGUAAAAAUAAUUCCCAAUACAUUAGUCUUGUUUUAUAGUCUACGCGAAUUCUAAUAUAGAAGGAUUUAUUACUCCAGGCUUCUGUUAAAGUAAUAUGGCAAAGACAAAGUAAUAUGGACGUAAUAGGUAUAUUGUUAAUAAGAGUAAUAAAUUAUAUUGUACAAGGAUGAGUUUAUUAUGAUUCUAUGUUGUAUAUUCAUAAUUUAUCUCAUUUUCAGUAAAAAUAAAUUUAAUGGGUUCAGCACAGGAGAAAGCACAAUCAAUGGGAAGCAUGCAAAGUAAUUGAAAGAAAUAUCAGGAACAUACGGCAUUAUUUGAUUCAUGAAUACUACUCAAAUUAUAAAGGACAAUAACAGAUCCAGCUACCUUAACUUUUGUUUUUUCUCACUUCUACUGCUUUAGGAGGCUAUGAAGAAGGGACUCAUUUGGCUAAAUUAGUCAGGAGUCAGAACUUCGGCAACCUCUUAUUUUUAUUCAUAAUUCAAACAAGAACAAGGAAAACAUCUCUCUGUUGGCCAUUAAGUAGCUAUUACAUCUGGAUUGCAGAAAUGCAAAAGACCACAAGAUGGCAGCAAAGAACCAUAAAAAUUAAUUAUUUGCUGCCAUAUGGUGCUUGCCUAGAGGUUGCAGGGAGAAAACACUACAUACCCAUGAUGGCGAACUUAUGGCACGUGUGCCACAGGUGGCACUCAGCAUCUUCUCUGUGUGCACACAAGCCAUCACCCCAGUUCAGCUCUGCCACACAUACAUGCAUGCCUCCUGCAGGCCAGCUGGUUGUCGGGUCUCUGCUGCGCAUGUGCAAGGUGCACACAGGGGCCAUACAAGCAUCACAGUGCGGGGUGCAUGCGUGUGGGGCGCAUGCACUGGGGUGAAUACGCAGGGGGCUCAUGUGCAUUGCAUUUUGGGGUUUCAGACAUGCGCACGUGCAUUCAGGACCCGCAUGUUCACUUUGGCCACUCAGCCUGGAAAAGGUUAUUUAUCACUGCUAUAUACUGUAUUUAAAAAGUAGGAUUUAUUUUUUAAUAAUGACUCCUGAUAGUAUAUGUGUCACUUAUUUAAAAACAUUAUUUAUAGGUGAUUUAUAUAUUACUUUGAUAUCACAUAAAACUAGUCAAAUAUUAAGCAAAAAUCAAAACCACAAUAUUUUACAACAGUACAGUAUUUUACUUGUAAUUUUAAAUUUUUAAGAUAUUUUCUUUGCUAUUCCCAUUUUUCCUGUUUUCUCUGUUAUUUUUUUUAUUUUGUUUUAGUUUUUAUUUUAUACUUUACUUUUUAGGUAGGUAGGUUUCUUAAUAAAAUUUAAAUGAAAUGAAAUGCAUUAACUUUGUGAACAAUUAUUAUGGUAUACUUUUACUGUCAGUUGUAUUGGUUGAGAAAUUCAAUAAUUUUUAUGUUAUCUAAUUUCUUUGUUUUUUAAAAAAAACUUAAGCAUUAUCUCAGCUUCUUGGCAUAUUUAUGCACUUUGAAAAGCAAAAUAAUAGAGGAAUAAAAUUCAUUUUAAAUCAUGCCCUCAAUUAAUGAAGCCAAUCAAUAUAGAAGAUUGCAUUCUUUACAAGUAAAAUACUCAAUACUGCAUAUGGCAGCCAGAACUACAUAAACCAAUAAAUAUUUGUUCCCUUGUUUACACCCUGAUUUUUAAAAUUCUGCACUAGAAAACCUAACCUCAGCAAAUGUUUAAUCUAUCAUGAAUUUUGGCUUCUGUCCAAAAUGUAACAUUUUGCCUUGCCUGAAGUGAUUCAGUCAAGUUGUUGUAUUUGAAUAUGGAGUUACAAGCAUUGCUUGCAUUUAAAAAGACACCCUUAUUGUAUUUUGCUGUAUUUAUAGAAUAAGAAGAAAUAAGAAUACUGACUCAUGUAAACGCACUGGAAAACAUGAGCUCAUGCUUCUGAACUCCCAUUUUAAUUACCUUGCUAAUUUGUGUUUAAAUGGUGUAAUUCAUCCUAUCAGAAUAGCCACCCAUUAAGAUCAUUUUUAGAGCAGCUGCCAGAGCAAGCCCACUCCUGUUACUCUUCUACCAGCUGGGCUCUCGUUGCCCCCUCAUGGUGUGGCAGAAGAUAAGCUGCAUAAAGGGGUGUUAUGAAAGCUGCUAGGCUUUGAAAUUGAGACAAGGCAUUCAAUAUCAAAGACACAUUACAAGUCAGGGGACAGACAGACAGCUUAUCCCUACCUGUUGUUCGACAAACUGAAGUGAAAAUAAAUAAGCGGGUUAAAAAAAAAACCACACCACAAAUUCUGUUGCUAUUAUACUUAUAUAGAUAGUUCUUCAACUUAUGAAUACAACUGAGGCCAAAAUUUCCAUUGCUAAGCAAGCUAGUUGUUAAGUGAGUUUUGCCCCAGUUUAUGGCUUUCUUGCCACAGUUGUUAAGUGAAUCAUCACACUUGAUAAGUUAGUGACCUAGUUGUUAAAGUGAAUCUGGCUUCCCCAUUGACUUUGCUUGCCAGAAGGUCGCAAAAGGAAAUCACGUGAUCCUGAGAUACUGCAACCAUCAUAAAUAUAUGCCAGUUGCCAGGCAUCUGAAUUUCGAUCAUCUGACAUGGGGAUGCUGCAAUGUACAUAAGUGUGAAAAAUGGUGACAAGUCACUUUUUUCAGUCUCAUUGUAACUUCAAACAGUCACUAAACGAAUGGUAAUGUCGAGGACUAUCUGUACGUUAGCAGAAUUAUUUGACAAACUUUCUCAAGAAAUAAAGAUCCAUUUAAGUUACCCUGGAUAUAGUAUAAUUAACAUUAUAGUAACAAAGAUCCAGCCUUGAGUGAAAAGUUGAAAGUGUUGUGACCCAGGCCCAAGUAGGUAGUAAUAAACUUAGUCCGUGGAAAAACAAACUUUAUUCGAACAGCUGGGAAUUACUUCAUUCCCAGUAUCGUUCAACUCAAAGUAAAACAAAUGCCUCCCACACAAAUUCCUUAGUUAUCUAACAAACCUUAGUCCAAUUAGGCAAAUUGCCAAAGGCCCUUCCUGGCAAACGUCCAGAAGCCACAAAAACAAAGACGUACAUGAAACAGAAGAUGGAGCAGAAGACGCAGCUACAACAUUGUUUUCCAGCAAAGCUGAAACACCAGUGCUGGUCUGUUUUAAGCCUUAUGGGAGGAGCCAAGCAUCUCUUGGCCCUACUCCCGAGUUGUCCUCUCUGCUCCUCCUGUUUCUCUGCCUCACUACUAUCAAUCUCUGGAGGCUCUGGAGUCCGCACCUCACUUCCUGAUGGCCCUGGCCUCACCUCAGCCUCAUUGUUGUCCGACUCCGUUGCCAGCUCCGUAGGACCACAACAGAAAAUUUUAAACUCUAGAAACGCUUUAUACCAGGGAUGUCAAACUGGCAGCUCACGGGCCAGAUGCGUCACACACAGGCCACACCCAGCCAAGCUCCGUGAAAGGAAUAACGUCGUGAAAUGUCACAUGACAGCAUUAUGACACUGUGAGUUUGACACCCAUGCUCUAUGCCAUACCUCCAAUGCCUGCCUUGCUAGGAGCCUUAGUAGUUAUUGCUGCCACUACCUGUAUUUCAAAGAGAUGCCUUAUUUAGGGUCCCUCUCCCUAUCCCUGGCAUACAAUAAAUAGAAGUCUCAUUAUCUGCAAAUAAAACAAACAAAAAAGAUAAACCUUUAGGCUACUCCCUCAUCUUGUACCUUUCAGAUGGGUGACUAGGGAAAUCAGCCACUCUUCCUUACCUCCUGGGCCUGAAAACAAUUUACACAAAAUUCCAAAAGAUUAGCUUAUAUAGAGACAAAUAAUUAAAACUAAAAGUCAAGAAGUUAAACUUUAGCUAACUUUUUCCUAUUUUUUUAGAGACCAAACAGGUCUUGAAAGGGAAAUUAUCUCUCUGCCAAUCUGUUACCUGGAAAAUAACUUUGCCCUAAAACUUCCAAUGUUCAUCAGAGGUUGGAGAAGAACCAUGGCUCACUCUUUCUCCCCCACCUUGGUGCACUAUUUCUUUUUUUCCCCACAGAAUUCUUCAGUUUUUUUGAAGGCAAAACUUGUUCAUCUCUAGCAAAAAAAAAAAAUUAUCAGACCAUACACAACCCAAGCAUUCAACUGUUCCUCUUGCAGUUGUAGGAUAUGUGAAUGAGAUGAAUGAAUGUGGAUUGAAACUAAGAAGUGAGAGGCUGUCAGCGUAUGUGAACAGUGGUGGGAUUCAGCCAGUUCCCACCACUUCGGGAGAACCGGUUGUUAAAUUUCUGAGCAGUUUGGAGAACUGGUUGUUGGAAGAAAUCAUUAGGGCAGAGAACCGAUUGUUAAAUUACUUGAAUCCCACCACUGUAUGUGAGGUAGUAGCAGCUUGCCUGCUCAUUCAUUAUAAGUACCGUAAAUUAUUAAGUUACCCUUUCUGUUAUGAAUGUCAGGUACAAGAAAUCAGGAAGCAACCAAUGAAUACAGGUAUAUUGCUUGCUAGCACUCUCUAAAAGUAUUUGAAUUAACAAUGGUCAAAGCAAAUUGGCAGUAGAUAAGAGUCAACAGAAUUCAAGGUAGGCUAGACUUAAGAUCUCUUACAGGCACAAGGGACUUGAGACUGAUGAAGCACUUGACUCUUCUCUUGGGCUCAGACUGGUCAUCUCUUACAAUAUACUUAUAUUCACCCAAGGACACACUUCUGGAGGAAUUUUAGGAACUUAGUAAUAAUUCAGGUGAAUGAUUUCCUUAUGUUCUCUUCCUUUUCUCCAUACAAUAAAUAAUAAUUGCGGCGAUUCAGAUGAGGCGUCUGAGGGUGGUCUUGGUGAUAUUUUUUGGGAUGAGUUUGACCCUGUGGCUCCCGAGGACAUGGACAGGUUGCUGGGUAGGCUGAAUGCCACCACGUGUUUACUGGACCCGUGCCCCUCCUGGUUGGUGCUGGCCACUCAGGAGGUGACACGAGGCUGGCUCC